RNAcentral lists this long non-coding RNA (933 nucleotides) under Homo sapiens (human). RNAcentral describes it as "long non-coding RNA NONHSAT203976.1". The record is from RNAcentral. Lineage: Eukaryota; Metazoa; Chordata; Mammalia; Primates; Hominidae.
CUCUGGCUGCGUCUGAGGGCCUUAGCUCUGGCCAGGGGCGCUGCAACGGGCUCAGCCUUCUAGGGGUGGCGGGUGAAGGCCUACACCUGCCCCAGGACGGCCAGGUCCACCAGCACCUGCAACAGACGGAGAACUGAAGGAGCAUCUUGAAGCUGUGGCUGUCUUGAAGGUGUCGCCGCUUGUCCUCACGAGCACCAUUUUGAUUCUCGUGCCCUGUGUGCAUGGGUGGCCAGCGUUGCUGGUAGGGCUCCUGCACGCUCAGAGUGGCCUUGGCCAGGAAGUCCAGGGUUUCCGCAGGCAGAGUGUAUGAACAAGGUACUGAGAAGAUCACAUACUGCAUGUCCUCCUAAAACCUGGUCCUGGCAUAACCUUCUAAGCUGUUUUAUUCAGGUUUGGCAGAUACAUCAAGCCAGUUCAUUAAUGCACAGAUGAUUCCUUCACAUUAAGAAAGACACGUUGGAGCACCAUAAAUGUCAAGGCAGUUAUUACACACAAAAAGCAUAAAAUGGCAACCAUCAAAAGAUUCAUAGCCAAAAGGGACUUGCCUUAUCUCAGUUGAGGCUUUGGACUUGGAACUUUGAGUCAAAUCAUUUCUUCUGAAGAGGCAAGAAUUGAGGUUGCUGCAGACUUGUAUGACUUUGCCACCGGUAACUUGGAUACCUUCCACCAGUAACAUUUAAGGCACAUAACUGGGUAUUCAUAGUACUCGGGGGCCUUGCCAUUGUGUGAUUAAGACCACAGACUGUGAUGCUGCACUGCCCAUCUACCACACUGAAAAGCUGUCUGGACUUCUGCAAGUUUCUUAACCUCUCUGUACCUCAGACUCCUCAUCUGUACAAAAAAAGAAAUUAUAUAUGUAUAUAUAUACAGUGGUCACCUCACAGGAUUUUUUUGAAGAAUAAAAAAUUUUAAAUAAAUAAAACACUUAAUACA